GGGGUUGUCUAUGAUAUAUUGGACCAAGCUCUUGUCCAACGGUUGAGCAAGAGAAACAUAUGUAACAAGGGAUCCGAAGACACCGAUUGCCCAUAACGCUUGAAUGAAGCGUUUAAUAGGAGUGACAUAAAUAUGAAUUAGGAAUAACGAUAAACCUAGACCUCCGGCUCCAGUAGCAUACAAGAUGUCAAUAUCUUGCUUUAUAAUAUCCGCUAAGAUAUUGCCUUCAGGAAGAAAAGCAGUAGAAGCGACA
This 253-nucleotide unclassified non-coding RNA is filed under the name Hevea brasiliensis (rubber tree). The record is from RNAcentral. Lineage: Eukaryota; Viridiplantae; Streptophyta; Magnoliopsida; Malpighiales; Euphorbiaceae.